This 491-nucleotide ribosomal RNA is filed under the name uncultured bacterium. RNAcentral describes it as "partial 16S ribosomal RNA". It matches the Rfam family "Bacterial small subunit ribosomal RNA", at positions 29 to 506 of the family's 1533-position model. The record is from RNAcentral.
AGUGAACGCUGGCGGUAGGCCUAACACAUGCAAGUCGAACGGCAGCACAGUAAGAGCUUGCUCUUACGGGUGGCGAGUGGCGGACGGGUGAGGCAUACAUCGGAAUCUACUUUUUCGUGGGGGAUAACGUAGGGAAACUUACGCUAAUACCGCAUACGACCUACGGGUGAAAGCAGGGGAUCUUCGGACCUUGCGCGAUUGAAUGAGCCGAUGUCGGAUUAGCUAGUUGGCGGGGUAAAGGCCCACCAAGGCGACGAUCCGUAGCUGGUCUGAGAGGAUGAUCAGCCACACGGGAACUGAGACACGGUCCAGACUCCUACGGGAGGCAGCAGUGGGUAAUAUUGGACAAGGGGCGCAAGCCUGAGCCAGCCAUACCGCGUGGGUGAAGAAGGCCUUCGGGUUGUAAAGCCCUUUUGUGGGGAAAGAAAAUCAGCAGGUUAAUACCCCGCUGUUCUGACGGAACCCAAAGAAUAAGCACCGGCGAACUGCGU